This 929-nucleotide ribosomal RNA is filed under the name Synalpheus bousfieldi. Its description in RNAcentral is "SSU rRNA". It matches the Rfam family "Eukaryotic small subunit ribosomal RNA", at positions 564 to 1463 of the family's 1831-position model. Lineage: Eukaryota; Metazoa; Arthropoda; Malacostraca; Decapoda; Alpheidae. The record is from RNAcentral.
GUGCCAGCAGCCGCGGUAAUUCCAGCUCCAAUAGCGUAUAUUAAAGUUGUUGCGGUUAAAAAGCUCGUAGUCUGAGGUCUGUUCCGGACUGGCUGGGGAGGUCACCGCCCGGUGCUUCCCCGUCAGGUUCCGAACAGCUUCUGCCGCGAGCGGAAGCCAUGCCGGUUCUCUCGGGGUGCUCUUGACCGAGUGUCCCGUGUGGCCGGCAGGUUCACCUUGAACAAAUGAGAGUGCUCAAAGCAGGCUACUCUUAAAACUAAAGCCCGAAUGUUAACUGCAUGGAAUGAUGAAAGAUGAUCUCGGUUGUAUUUUACUGGCUUGUGAUAAAUCCGAGUUAAUGAUAAACAGGGACUGUCGGGGGCAUCCGUACUACGACGCGAGAGGUGAAAUUCAGUGACCGUCGUAGGACGAACAACAGCGAAAGCAUUUGCCAAGAAUGUCUUCGUUGAUCAAGAACGAAAGUUAGAGGAUCGAAGGCGAUCAGAUACCGCCCUAGUUCUAACCCUAAACGAUGCUAACUAGCUAUUCGCCGUCGUUAUUCCCAUGACGUGGCGAGACGCCCCCGGGAAACCUCAAGUCUUUGAGUUCCGGGGGUAGUAUGGUUGCAAAACUGAAACUUAAAGGAAUUGACGGAAGGGCACCACCAGGAGUGGAGCCUGCGGCUUAAUUUGACUCAACACGGGAAACCUCACCAGGCCCGGACACCAGAAGGAUUGACAGAUUAAGAGCUCUUUCUCGAUUUGGUGGGUGGUGGUGCAUGGCCGUUCUUAGUUGGUGGAGUGAUUUGUCUGGUUAAUUCCGGUAACGAACGAGACUCUGGCCUACUAACUAGUGGAUGGGUGUUCUGACAGUGGGGCCCCAUCCGAUAAUGUCUUCUUAGAGGGAUGAGCAGCGAGUAUAGCUGCAGGAGAUUGAGCAAUAACAGGUCU